GCGCCUCUCCCUCCACACCUCCCUGCAAGCUGAGGGAGCCGGCUCUGGCCUUGGCCAGCCUAGAAAGGGGCUCCCACAGUGCAGUGGUGGGCUGAAGGGCUCCUCAAAUGCCGCCAAAGUGGGAGCCCAGGCAGAGGAGGUGCCAAGAGCAAGCGAGGGCUCUGAGGACUGCCAGCACGCUGUCACCUGUCAUUAUCAACAACUUGACUAAAAUACCUCUGUGUUUGAGACCAUCAAGCUUCAGAAGAUCAUGUGACAAAUGUUCCAGCCAGUUCCAGUUGAAGACACCACCCCUGGCCAUCAAGAAGCUACUCUGCCUCCACUAGACAGAGCAGGGUGACAGUUCCGUGAUCCCCAAUAGGUAGGGACUUUGCUUCAAGCCAGCAUGAGGCAGUUACAGAAGAAAGACCAUUAGUCACUCCACCUCCCAUAAAGAUUUAUGGGGAUGACAUCUCUCAGGGAGGAAAUGAGGCAGGAAAAUAGGAUCUGGAGGCAUAGAACAUAAGGCCUAUUCACACUUCAGCUAUGCCGGGAAAUAUUAUCUCCAUUUACAUAGGGCAUACACAAAGUAACCAAUGGAAACCUCUAGAGGGUAUUUAAAUCCCCCAAAAUUCUGUAACAGGACCCUUGAGCCCCUAUGCUUGGGCCCACUCCCACACUGUGGAGUGUACUUCCAUUUUCAAUAAAUAUCU
RNAcentral lists this long non-coding RNA (692 nucleotides) under Homo sapiens (human). RNAcentral's name for it is "HSALNT0293676". Lineage: Eukaryota; Metazoa; Chordata; Mammalia; Primates; Hominidae. The record is from RNAcentral.